Molecule: ribosomal RNA, 401 nt
Filed under: uncultured Desulfobulbus sp.
Lineage: Bacteria; Pseudomonadati; Thermodesulfobacteriota; Desulfobulbia; Desulfobulbales; Desulfobulbaceae
Description: bacterial SSU rRNA
Rfam family: Bacterial small subunit ribosomal RNA
Source: RNAcentral
ACUCCGGGACCCUUAGGAAACUAGGGGUGCUUUCCAUCUGGAAGAAUCUGGAGACAGGUGCUGCAUGGCUGUCGUCAGCUCGUGUCGUGAGAUGUUGGGUUAAGUCCCGCAACGAGCGCAACCCUUGCCUUUAGUUGCCAGCAGUUCGGCUGGGCACUCUAAAGGGACUGCCGGUGUUAAACCGGAGGAAGGUGGGGAUGACGUCAAGUCCUCAUGGCCUUUAUGACCAGGGCUACACACGUACUACAAUGGCCGAUACAAAGGGCAGCGACACUGCGAGGUGAAGCCAAUCCCGUAAAAUCGGCCUCAGUCCGGAUUGGAGUCUGCAACUCGACUCCAUGAAGUUGGAAUCGCUAGUAAUCGUGGAUCAGCAUGCCACGGUGAAUACGUUCCCGGGCCUU